This 679-nucleotide ribosomal RNA is filed under the name Boletus rubriceps. RNAcentral's name for it is "eukaryotic LSU rRNA". It matches the Rfam family "Eukaryotic large subunit ribosomal RNA", at positions 1 to 651 of the family's 3401-position model. The record is from RNAcentral. Lineage: Eukaryota; Fungi; Basidiomycota; Agaricomycetes; Boletales; Boletaceae.
AGGACCAUUUGAACUCUUGACCUCAAAUCAGGUAGGACUACCCGCUGAACUUAAGCAUAUCAAUAAGCGGAGGAAAAGAAACUAACAAGGAUUCCCCUAGUAACUGCGAGUGAAGCGGGAAAAGCUCAAAUUUUGAAUCUGGCGGUCUUUGCAGGCCGUCCGAGUUGUAAUCUAGAGAAGCGUCUUCCGCGCCGGCCUGUGUACAAGUCUCCUGGAAGGGAGCGUCAUAGAGGGUGAGAAUCCCGUCUCUGACACGGACCACCGGUGCUAUGUGAUGCGCUCUCGACGAGUCGAGUUGUUUGGGAAUGCAGCUCAAAAAGGGUGGUAAACUCCAUCUAAAGCUAAAUAUUGGCGAGAGACCGAUAGCGAACAAGUACCGUGAGGGAAAGAUGAAAAGGACUCUGGAAAGAGAGUUAAACAGUACGUGAAAUUGCUGAAAGGGAAACGCUCGAUGUCAGUCGCGUCGGCUGGGGGUCAACCUUGCGGUUUCGCUGGGUGUAUUUCCUGGUCGACGGGUCAGCAUCAGUUUUGGUCGUCGUACAAGGGCCAAGGGAAAGUGGCACCCUUCCGGGGGUGUGUUAUAGCCUUUCGGUCGUAUGUGGCGGCUCGGGACUGAGGAGACUCGGUGUGGGCUUCGGCUUACACUAGAGAUGCUGGCAUAAUGGCCUUGAGCGACCCG